RNAcentral lists this ribosomal RNA (279 nucleotides) under uncultured bacterium. RNAcentral's name for it is "partial 16S ribosomal RNA". It matches the Rfam family "Bacterial small subunit ribosomal RNA", at positions 113 to 394 of the family's 1533-position model. The record is from RNAcentral.
AAGCGUAGGAAAUCUGCCUUGUAGUGGGGGACAACCUGGGGAAACUCAGGCUAAUACCGCAUACGCUCGCGAGAGGAAAGCGGGGGAUCUUCGGACCUCGCGCCGCAAGAAGAGCCUACGUCCGAUUAGCUAGUUGGUAGGGUAAAAGCCUACCAAGGCGACGAUCGGUAGCUGGUCUGAGAGGAUGAUCAGCCACACUGGGACUGAGACACGGCCCAGACUCCUACGGGAGGCAGCAGUGGGGAAUAUUGGACAAUGGGCGCAAGCCUGAUCCAGCAA